UUAAGCGACUAAGCGUACACGGUGGAUGCCCUGGCAGUCAGAGGCGAUGAAGGACGUGCUAAUCUGCGAAAAGCGUCGGUAAGGUGAUAUGAACCGUUACAGCCGGCGAUGUCCGAAUGGGGAAACCCAGUGCAAUUCGUUGCACUAUCGUUAACUGAAUACAUAGGUUAGCGAGGCGAACCGGGGGAACUGAAACAUCUAAGUACCCCGAGGAAAAGAAAUCAACCGAGAUUCCCCCAGUAGCGGCGAGCGAACGGGGAGCAGCCCAGAGUCUGAAUCAGCUUGUGUGUUAGUGGAACGGUCUGGAAAGUCCGACGGUACAGGGUGAUAGUCCCGUACACCAAAAUGCACAGGUUGUGAACUCGAAGAGUAGGGCGGGACACGUGGUAUCCUGUCUGAAUAUGGGGGGACCAUCCUCCAAGGCUAAAUACUCCUGACUGACCGAUAGUGAACCAGUACCGUGAGGGAAAGGCGAAAAGAACCCCGGCGAGGGGAGUGAAAAAGAACCUGAAACCGUGUACGUACAAGCAGUGGGAGCACCUUCGGGUGUGACUGCGUACCUUUUGUAUAAUGGGUCAGCGACUUAUAUUCUGUAGCAAGGUUAACCGUAUAGGGGAGCCGCAGGGAAACCGAGUCUUAACUGGGCGUUAAGUUGCAGGGUAUAGACCCGAAACCCGGUGAUCUAGCCAUGGGCAGGUUGAAGGUUGGGUAACACUAACUGGAGGACCGAACCGACUAAUGUUGAAAAAUUAGCGGAUGACUUGUGGCUGGGGGUGAAAGGCCAAUCAAACCGGGAGAUAGCUGGUUCUCCCCGAAAGCUAUUUAGGUAGCGCCUCGUGAAUUCAUCUUCGGGGGUAGAGCACUGUUUCGGCUAGGGGGUCAUCCCGACUUACCAACCCGAUGCAAACUACGAAUACCGAAGAAUGUUAUCACGGGAGACACACGGCGGGUGCUAACGUCCGUCGUGAAGAGGGAAACAACCCAGACCGCCAGCUAAGGUCCCAAAGUCAUGGUUAAGUGGGAAACGAUGUGGGAAGGCACAGACAGCCAGGAUGUUGGCUUAGAAGCAGCCAUCAUUUAAAGAAAGCGUAAUAGCUCACUGGUCGAGUCGGCCUGCGCGGAAGAUGUAACGGGGCUAAACCAUGCACCGAAGCUGCGGCAGCGACACUAUGUGUUGUUGGGUAGGGGAGCGUUCUGUAAGCCUGCGAAGGUGACCUGUGAGGGUUGCUGGAGGUAUCAGAAGUGCGAAUGCUGACAUAAGUAACGAUAAAGCGGGUGAAAAGCCCGCUCGCCGGAAGACCAAGGGUUCCUGUCCAACGUUAAUCGGGGCAGGGUGAGUCGACCCCUAAGGCGAGGCCGAAAGGCGUAGUCGAUGGGAAACAGGUUAAUAUUCCUGUACUUGGUGUUACUGCGAAGGGGGGACGGAGAAGGCUAUGUUAGCCGGGCGACGGUUGUCCCGGUUUAAGCAUGUAGGCUGGUUGUCCAGGCAAAUCCGGAUAAUCAAGGCUGAGGUGUGAUGACGAGGCACUACGGUGCUGAAGUAACAAAUGCCCUGCUUCCAGGAAAAGCCUCUAAGCAUCAGGUAACAUUAAAUCGUACCCCAAACCGACACAGGUGGUCAGGUAGAGAAUACCAAGGCGCUUGAGAGAACUCGGGUGAAGGAACUAGGCAAAAUGGUGCCGUAACUUCGGGAGAAGGCACGCUGGUGUGUAGGUGAAGCCCCUGCGGGUGGAGCUGAGACCAGUCGAAGAUACCAGCUGGCUGCAACUGUUUAUUAAAAACACAGCACUGUGCAAACACGAAAGUGGACGUAUACGGUGUGACGCCUGCCCGGUGCCGGAAGGUUAAUUGAUGGGGUUAUCCGUAAGGAGAAGCUCUUGAUCGAAGCCCCGGUAAACGGCGGCCGUAACUAUAACGGUCCUAAGGUAGCGAAAUUCCUUGUCGGGUAAGUUCCGACCUGCACGAAUGGCGUAAUGAUGGCCAGGCUGUCUCCACCCGAGACUCAGUGAAAUUGAACUCGCUGUGAAGAUGCAGUGUACCCGCGGCAAGACGGAAAGACCCCGUGAACCUUUACUAUAGCUUGACACUGAACAUUGAGCCUUGAUGUGUAGGAUAGGUGGGAGGCUUUGAAGCGUGGACGCCAGUCUGCGUGGAGCCAACCUUGAAAUACCACCCUUUAAUGUUUGAUGUUCUAACGUUGGCCCCUUACCGGGGUUGCGGACAGUGUCUGGUGGGUAGUUUGACUGGGGCGGUCUCCUCCCAAAGCGUAACGGAGGAGCACGAAGGUUAGCUAAUCCUGGUCGGACAUCAGGAGGUUAGUGCAAUGGCAUAAGCUAGCUUGACUGCGAGCGUGACGGCGCGAGCAGGUGCGAAAGCAGGUCAUAGUGAUCCGGUGGUUCUGAAUGGAAGGGCCAUCGCUCAACGGAUAAAAGGUACUCCGGGGAUAACAGGCUGAUACCGCCCAAGAGUUCAUAUCGACGGCGGUGUUUGGCACCUCGAUGUCGGCUCAUCACAUCCUGGGGCUGAAGUAGGUCCCAAGGGUAUGGCUGUUCGCCAUUUAAAGUGGUACGCGAGCUGGGUUUAGAACGUCGUGAGACAGUUCGGUCCCUAUCUGCCGUGGGCGCUGGAGAAUUGAGGGGGGCUGCUCCUAGUACGAGAGGACCGGAGUGGACGCAUCACUGGUGUUCGGGUUGUCAUGCCAAUGGCACUGCCCGGUAGCUAAAUGCGGAAGAGAUAAGUGCUGAAAGCAUCUAAGCACGAAACUUGCCCCGAGAUGAGUUCUCCCUGAGACUUUAAGUCUCCUGAAGGAACGUUGAAGACGACGACGUUGAUAGGCUGGGUGUGUAAGCGCAGCGAUGCGUUGAGCUAACCGGUACUAAUGAACCGUGAGGCUUAACCUU
RNAcentral lists this ribosomal RNA (2900 nucleotides) under Klebsiella pneumoniae. RNAcentral describes it as "bacterial LSU rRNA". It matches the Rfam family "Bacterial large subunit ribosomal RNA". The record is from RNAcentral. Lineage: Bacteria; Pseudomonadati; Pseudomonadota; Gammaproteobacteria; Enterobacterales; Enterobacteriaceae.